Molecule: ribosomal RNA, 253 nt
Filed under: uncultured bacterium
Lineage: Bacteria
Description: partial 16S ribosomal RNA
Rfam family: Bacterial small subunit ribosomal RNA
Source: RNAcentral
UACGAGGGGUCUAAGCGUUGUUCGGAAUCACUGGGCGUAAAGCGGGUGUAGGUGGCUAAGCAAGUUAGGUGUGAAAUCCCCGGGCUCAACCCGGGAAGUGCAUCUAAAACUACUUAGCUUGAGUACGGGAGAGGGAAGCAGAAUUCCUGGUGUAGUGGUGAAAUACGUAGAUAUCAGGAGGAACACCGGUGGCGAAGGCGGUUUCCUGGCCCAGUACUGACACUCAGACCCGAAAGCGUGGGUAGCAAACAGG